GUAGGGGGCAAGCGUUAUCCGGAUUUACUGGGUGUAAAGGGAGCGCAGACGGCACUGCAAGUCUGAAGUGAAAGCCCGGGGCUCAACCCCGGGACUGCUUUUGAAACUGUGGAGCUGGAGUGCAGGAGAGGCGAGUGGAAUUCCUAGUGUAGCGGUGAAAUGCGUAGAUAUUAGGAGGAACACCAGUGGCGNAGGCGGCUUGCUGGACUGUNACUGACACUGAGGCUCGAAAGCGUGGGGNGCNNACAGGAUUAGAUACCCUGGUAGUCCACGCCGUANACGAUGNAUACUAGGUGUCGGGGCUCAUANGNGCUUCGGUGCCGCAGCNNACGCNAUNNGUAUUCCNCCUGGGGNGU
This 356-nucleotide ribosomal RNA is filed under the name uncultured bacterium. RNAcentral's name for it is "partial 16S ribosomal RNA". It matches the Rfam family "Bacterial small subunit ribosomal RNA", at positions 527 to 881 of the family's 1533-position model. The record is from RNAcentral.